CCCCUCAAACCCAGCCUCAGCCAGGACAAGAGCUCCUGAAUCAACCCUCCAUCCACCCCUCAACCUCAACCCCAGCCUCGGCCAGGACAAGAGCUCCUGAAUCGACCCUCCAUCCACCCCUCAACCCCAGCCUCAGCCAGGAUAAGAGGUCCUGAAUCGACCCUCCAUCCACCCCUCAACCCCAGCCUCAGCCAGGAUAAGAGCUCCUGAUGCAGAGAAACACCAAAACCAUUUUAAUGCUUUCUCUCUUUGUAUUAUUCUGAGAUCAGUGUUCUUCAUGAUAAUGAACCAGCUGUGUAGUGCUAGGGCAAAAAACUAAAUGUGCACUCAGUGGGGGCCCCUGGACCAAGUUUGGGAAACCCUGCCCUAGAGAAGAACCGUAUAGACAGGAGAUUUAGCAACUCUUGGAGGACAAUCGAAUUAAAUAAAAUAAAUUAAAUAUAUUGUUAAAAGUGGAACCAACACGUUUCAGCUUUUGGCCUUUAAACAAAGAUUAUUUAAUUGAAUUCCAAUGUCCUCCCAAGAGUUGCUAUAUCUCCUCUCUACUUCAGUUUGCUCCUCAAUUCAUGCACCUUGGUUGGAGAGCGAGGUAGCUGCAGUGCUCCCUUCCCUAGAACAGAACAGUGCCUCAGCCUACAGGACAAGCCAGCUAGACACACCGACGGGACAUAUUUUUCAUAGAUCCUGGAUAUGAUUGUGUUUCUGAAUUCUCAUUUACUGCAAUUGUCAAUGUUCCAGGGGGAACUUUUCUUGGAAAUGUGAGCAAGCGCCAUAUUCAAACACUUUCCCCUCAAUCAAAAGGAAAUAAGAUUAAAGUGCAUAUAUAACAUUAUUCCAGCUGUGUAAGAGCAUUGGAAUGUUACAAUAUCAAAAAGUAACAGUAGUAUUCUAUUUGAUUUGAAAUAUGUUGAUAUGCAAAGCCAACACUUCAGUAUAAAGGUAGCUGUGUUUUUUGAUGGUGAAUAUGGAAUGAUGUCCAUACUAAAAGUAGGCAGUUAUAAUAACACUAUGUUUUCAAAAGGUUCUCCAUGUAUGUACCGUCAAAAUAUGAACUAAAGUGUUGGGGUCGGGGUGAGGGCUUUUAUGUAGAUUUUCAAUGCAAUCAAAUUGUGUAGCAAUCCUGUUUUAUAAAGAUUUUGCAUUGCCAAUAAAUGAAUGUGGCAAAUAUCCAUAACUUCUUUGGGGGGGGGGGGGUGAUUGUCAAACAAUUCUGUUCAACCAUGGAUCUUGCAUCAAUAAUUUAGUUAUAGAUUAUUACAUCCAAGUUAGGUCAUAUCAAUGUCCCAUUGGAAGCUGUAUGUGUGGAAUGUGCCUUAAAGGACUAUAACAUUUAAGAUACAUUGUCCUGUCCCUUUAAAACCCACAACAUUAACCUUGCCCCUGCCUCCCCCCCGGAGUAGACUCCAUUCCAUGAAGACCAAAGGGAGGGAAGAGUUAAUUGCACCUAGAUCCCCCUUCCCCUCUCAUGUCUUGUGCCUUGGGGGAUGGUGGAUGGAAGGACCAGUGGCGUGGCUAAUACCAGAGCUUUGGACAGAUGACCUCAGCUGCAGCAGAUGGUGACCUCAUCCCGCUUGCCUUCCGGGGAUCCUUCCAUUCCUUCAGUAGUAGUAGGCACACAGAUAAAAGAGCAGAUGACCAUCUGGGCCCUGCCUGCCUUCUGCCUGGGUGCUCAUGACAAUAGCACCCCCUCUCCAAGUGUGGUGUGUAAGUGUGGGGGUCGUUGUGGCAGUCAUUGUGGUGCUUUUGGAGGUGGGUGAGGGGAGAGGAGAGAAGUGUUGCUAUAGGGACACUGCUGGGUUCUAGAGCUUUGUAGAGGUCCGGUUGACUGGUCUUACUGGUCAUUGUGAUAAGACGGGCUUGGUAUUCUGACCAACAAAGAGGGAAAUAACAGCUCGUGCUGCUCCACAAACACAUCCUUUAUCACGCCUGUGAUCGCUACUAUGUUUCAAUGUUGGUCUAUGAUAAAUUCAGAAUUGUCCUCAUAUUCUGGGUAGAGAGACAAAUAAACCCCUAUGCUACUGCACUAAUUGGCAUUGAAUCAACAACAUUUUAUUUAUUGAUUUUAAUUUUUUACCUUUAUUUAACCAGGCAAGUCAGUUAAGAACACAUUCUUAUUUUCAAUGACUGCCUAGGAACAGGGGCAGAACGACAGAUUUGUACCUUGUCAGCUCGGGGGUUUGAACUUACAACCUUCCGGUUACUAGUCCAAUG
Molecule: long non-coding RNA, 2211 nt
Organism: Oncorhynchus tshawytscha (Chinook salmon)
Lineage: Eukaryota; Metazoa; Chordata; Actinopteri; Salmoniformes; Salmonidae
Source: Ensembl